UACGUAGGGUGCAAGCGUUAAUCGGAAUUACUGGGCGUAAAGCGUGCGCAGGCGGUUAUGCAAGACAGAUGUGAAAUCCCCGGGCUUAACCUGGGAACCGCAUUUGUGACUGCAUAGCUGGAGUACGGCAGAGGGGGAUGGAAUUCCGCGUGUAGCAGUGAAAUGCGUAGAUAUGCGGAGGAACACCGAUGGCGAAGGCAGUCCCCUGGGCCUGUACUGACGCUGAGGAACGAAAGCGUGGGGAGCGAACAGG
RNAcentral lists this ribosomal RNA (253 nucleotides) under uncultured bacterium. Its description in RNAcentral is "partial 16S ribosomal RNA". It matches the Rfam family "Bacterial small subunit ribosomal RNA", at positions 524 to 776 of the family's 1533-position model. The record is from RNAcentral.